This 375-nucleotide unclassified non-coding RNA is filed under the name uncultured fungus. Its description in RNAcentral is "partial contains 5.8S ribosomal RNA and internal transcribed spacer 2". The stretch from base 1 to 133 matches the Rfam family "5.8S ribosomal RNA", at positions 22 to 154 of the family's 154-position model. Lineage: Eukaryota; Fungi. The record is from RNAcentral.
UGGCUCUCGCAUCGAUGAAGAACGCAGCGAAAUGCGAUAAGUAAUGUGAAUUGCAGAAUUCAGUGAAUCAUCGAAUCUUUGAACGCACCUUGCGCUCCUUGGUAUUCCGAGGAGCAUGCCUGUUUGAGUGUCAUGAAAUUCUCAACCUCUCUAGUUUUUUUUAACUGGUUAGGCUUGGACCAUGGAAGUUGCUGGUUCUCUAUAUGAAACAGCUCUUCUCAAAUAUAUUAGCAAAAGACUGCUGCUGACCAACUCUGGUAUGAUAAUUAUCUAUAUCACCGCUGAUCAGUUCCCUUUAUCGGGAGGUCUUGCUUCUAAUCGUCUUUUAGACAACUUGAUAACUUUGACCUCAAAUCAGGUAGGACUACCCGCUGA